UUAACUUAAAGGAAUUGACGGAAGAGCACACAAGGAGUGGAGCCUGCGGCUUAAUUUGACUCAACACGGGGAAACUCACUAGGGCAAGAGGGGGGUACGAUGGACAGCCGAUCAGGGCUUUCCUGAUUCCCCCAGUGGUGGUGCAUGGUCGUUCUUAGUUCGUGGACUGAUUUGUCUGGUCUAUUCCGCUAACGAGCGAGAACCUACCCUAUCGUGGUUAGGCGCCUGGGCCCGCCGGCGGUCCCCCGGGGCCGCUGGCUGAAAACGCCCUAAAGUUCGAACAGGAGGGACCGGUACCGCUAAGGUGCCGGCAGCAGGUCAAUAACAGGUCAGUGAUGCCCUUAGAUGCUCUAGGCCGCACGCGCGCUACAAUGGGGCAAAUACCGGGCUCCCUGUGCCGGAAGGCGGCGGGGAAUCCGGGAAAAUGCCCCGUAUCCGGGAUCGCGCCGUGUAACUCGGCGCGCGAACAAGGAAUUUCUAGUAGUCGUGGGUCACCAGCCCGCGACGAUUCUGUCCCUGCUCUUUGUACACACCGCCCGUCGCUCCUACCGAUUGGGCUGCGAGGUGAGUUGCCGGGAGCCCCCCGGGGUUUUCCCCCCGGGGGCAC
This 607-nucleotide ribosomal RNA is filed under the name Trichia varia. RNAcentral describes it as "SSU rRNA". It matches the Rfam family "Eukaryotic small subunit ribosomal RNA", at positions 1139 to 1752 of the family's 1831-position model. The record is from RNAcentral. Lineage: Eukaryota; Evosea; Eumycetozoa; Trichiida; Trichiidae.